This 258-nucleotide ribosomal RNA is filed under the name uncultured bacterium. RNAcentral's name for it is "partial 16S ribosomal RNA". It matches the Rfam family "Bacterial small subunit ribosomal RNA", at positions 15 to 266 of the family's 1533-position model. The record is from RNAcentral.
GUUCCUGGCUCAGGACGAACGCUGGCGGCGUGCCUAACACAUGCAAGUCGAGCGGAGACAGUGAGUAGCUUGCUAUGAGCUGUUUUAGCGGCGGACGGGUGAGUAACGCGUGAGCAACCUUUCCCAGACAGGGGAAUAACACACCGAAAGGUGUACUAAUACCGCAUAAGACCACGGAAUCACAUGGUUCUGGGGUAAAAGAAUUAUCGGUUUGGGGUGGGCUCGCGUCCGAUUAGGUAGUUGGUGAGGUAACGGCCC